UAUUACAGCCCCAGUACCAGUGGUUCCAAGCAGCAGUGCCAGUCAUGCAAAGUAUGAAUACAAAUACGAGGUAUCGGAUCACCAGACUGGAGAUAGGAAGAGUCAUUGGGAAAGCCGUGAUGGUGACAAAGUACGGGGUGUUUAUACUCUGUAUGAACCGGACGGCGCUCUCCGGACUGUGGAGUACACUGCCGACGCUUUGCAUGGAUUCAAUGCAGUGGUGAAAAGGAGUGAACCGAACCAGCACUCUCAUCUAGGUGCUGGGUACAAACACGAUUCUCCAGCCACUAGUAGUUACACCUCUUACGCUGAUCCCAGUCCAGGGUACACCUCAGAAAGAGGCGUAUUUCCAGGACAAGGCAGUGCUGCCAGACGUCCAGGGAAAGCCAGCGGUCACAACCCUGGAGUUGACUUUAGCGUAGUACAUGGACAUAACCCAGACAAAUCUUAUUGAAUGAACGAA
Long non-coding RNA from Helicoverpa armigera (cotton bollworm), 463 nucleotides. RefSeq lists it as uncharacterized. The record is from RefSeq and is a predicted model, not a curated record. Lineage: Eukaryota; Metazoa; Arthropoda; Insecta; Lepidoptera; Noctuidae. The transcript has 3 exons.